Molecule: ribosomal RNA, 501 nt
Filed under: uncultured bacterium
Lineage: Bacteria
Description: bacterial SSU rRNA
Rfam family: Bacterial small subunit ribosomal RNA
Source: RNAcentral
GAUGAACGCUGGCGGCGUGCCUAACACAUGCAAGUCGAGCGAGAAACUUACUAUUGAAGCUUCGGUAGAUUUAGUAAGCGGAAAGCGGCGGACGGGUGAGUAACGCGUAGGCAACCUGCCCUUUACAGGAGGAUAGCCUCGGGAAACCGGGAUUAAAACUCCAUAAUGCCAAAGUAUUACAUGAUACAUUGGUCAAAGAUUUAUCGGUAAAGGAUGGGCCUGCGUCUGAUUAGUUAGUUGGUAAGGUAACGGCUUACCAAGGCAUCGAUCAGUAACCGACCUGAGAGGGUAAUCGGUCACAUUGGAACUGAGACACGGUCCAGACUCCUACGGGAGGCAGCAGUGGGGAAUAUUGCACAAUGGGCGCAAGCCUGAUGCAGCAACGCCGCGUGAAUGAUGAAGGUUUUAUGAAUCGUAAAAUUCUGUUCUGAGGGAAGAAACAAAUGACGGUACCUCAGGAGCAAGCCCCGGCUAACUACGUGCCAGCAGCCGCGGUAAAAC